CCUACGGGAGGCAGCAGUGGGGAAUUUUGGACAAUGGGCGCAAGCCUGAUCCAGCAAUGCCGCGUGAGUGAAGAAGGCCUUCGGGUUGUAAAGCUCUUUUGUCAGGGAAGAAACGGCUGAGGUUAAUACCUUCGGCUAAUGACGGUACCUGAAGAAUAAGCACCGGCUAACUACGUGCCAGCAGCCGCGGUAAUACGUAGGGUGCAAGCGUUAAUCGGAAUUACUGGGCGUAAAGCGUGCGCAGGCGGUUUUGUAAGUCUGACGUGAAAUCCCCGGGCUCAACCUGGGAAUUGCGUUGGAGACUGCGAGGCUGGAGUCUGGCAGAGGGGGGUAGAAUUCCACGUGUAGCAGUGAAAUGCGUAGAGAUGUGGAGGAACACCGAUGGCGAAGGCAGCCCCCUGGGUCAAGACUGACGCUCAUGCACGAAAGCGUGGGGAGCAAACAGGAUUAGAUACCCUGGUAGUCCACGCCCUAAACGAUGUCUACUAGUUGUCGGGUCUUAAUUGACUUGGUAACGCAGCUAACGCGUGAAGUAGACCGCCUGGGGAGUACGGUCGCAAGAUUAAAAACUCAAAAGGAAUUGACGG
RNAcentral lists this ribosomal RNA (587 nucleotides) under uncultured bacterium. Its description in RNAcentral is "bacterial SSU rRNA". It matches the Rfam family "Bacterial small subunit ribosomal RNA", at positions 338 to 916 of the family's 1533-position model. The record is from RNAcentral.